Molecule: long non-coding RNA, 42006 nt
Filed under: Linum usitatissimum (flax)
Lineage: Eukaryota; Viridiplantae; Streptophyta; Magnoliopsida; Malpighiales; Linaceae
Description: long non-coding RNA (LUSI_LNC003357)
Source: RNAcentral
UUCUUUUUUUUUUUGUUUUGUUUUGGGUUUUAGGUAUGUAGUGUUGCUUUCGGAUAAGGUUGGUUAACAGUAAAAUUAACCGAGUCGAUUAUAAUGGUUAAUCAUCGGUUGCCGUGGUUGGUAUAGUAUUAACAGUUAACCAUAGAUUAAGAAAUUGAAGUGAUAUAAAUUGGUGAUUCCAGCUGUCUGCCGUAGUGAAAGGACGAUCGCAAGUAGGCGCAUUGGAUGCCCGCCCUUAUUCGGGAGUUGGGUUCUCUAAUUGUCUCUUUCUUACUCAUUCGAAUUUAGAUAGUUGAUAUUCAAUUUUCAUUUAUAGUGGUUUUCGAAGUUGCUAACUUCAUUCCAAAAGACUGCAAUAUUGCAGCUUUUAUGAAGUUUAAUAGUUUGUUACCGCUUGCGUACCAAGUUGGACAUAUAUAACGUAACGAUCGAGUUAUAAUAAUAUGAUUUUAAUUUGGUAAAUUGAUCCAGAAAAUUGUAUUAGUCAAACAGCAAAGAACAAAGAGUGAUUACAACAGCAAAGAAAAGUACUGCCUACUGCCUGCAUGCUACAACUUCUUUGUCUCACACUCCCAGAAACUGGAGACGAUGCAGUGUAGAGCGUGGAACGGCACGACCGAAGCUGGGCCAUUGUUGCCGUCAAUUUCUCGACUCGUCUUGUUCGAAUAUAAGCUUAACUACUAGGCCCGUUAAUUUCACACCUGCAGCCCAAAUGCUUAUAGUCCGGGUAUCCAAGCCUAGCCCAACUCGUACACGGAUCCAAAUAGACCUCGGCCUGGACGCUUGACCCCUCUCAACGGUAGCAUGCAGGCAGUACUUUUACCAUGACAAAUUAAUUUAUAUCUAAAUCGUAACAUAUGGAAGAUGGUCUAACUUAUGAAUUCCGAAAUUUAGAAUUUUAAUAAUUUAGAAUUUUUUUUUAUUUUGAUGUGGUUUGAUAUGUUAUUAAGUAUUUAGUGGAUUUCAAAUUUAUACCAUCCGAUUUAGUACAUUAAAUCGAUUUUUUUGUUUCUAUAAAAAAUUUGUACGUUUAUAUAUUUUACCAUCAUGAUCCAUCCGACUUUUUAACACGACACAAUCAAUUAAAAAAAGCAAAGAAAUGCAAAAAUAGGCACACAUAGUUGCACUAUACACAAAAGUACUGUCACAUGCAUGUACUUCGAAAUUAAAUGCUAGCUAGUACUACUCCAACCCGACUCCAUACUUAUUAAACGUACAUCUUCACUUUCCCACACACACCGAUCAUCGUCUUCCUACCCACAUCUCUCCUCCGUCCCUCUUCCUCACCGGCGACAGCAAUGUCCGGCGUCUGGAUAUUCGACCGGCAAGGAGUCGCCCGACUCAUAUCCCACCCGACCCGCGAGUCCUUCGAGCAGAGAGACCACCACCACAACCACAACCACCAUGGGACGGCCACGGCCCCUGGUGCUAGGCCACGUGUCCUGGUCUACCUCCCGGAAGACCAGGUAAUCAAGUCGUACGACCAGCUCGAGCAGCGACUGGGCGAGCUCGGGUGGACCCGGUAUCAAAGACCGGACAGGAAGGAUAACGGGUUGGUUCAGUUUCACAGGUCUGAUUCGUGCGCUCAUCUCAUCUCUUUGCCUACGAGGUUUUCGAGCAUCAAGCCUUUCCAUAUGUACGACCUCGUCGUCAAGAACCGCUCCUUCUUUGAAGUUCGUGAUGUCCCUAAUUACUAGCUAAUUAAGCUACAUGAAUCAUGAUUGAUUAAUUGGAAGAAGCUUAUAAUCAAGUAAUGUAUAUAAUUAGUACUUACUACUGUCGACAAUCUGUCAAGUACACCCAAGUCCACUGUAUUUUAUUUUUUAUAUAUAUUCGGUUCGGUUCUCAUGUUGUGUUGAGUAGUUUGACUUGUUCUUUAAUGCAAAGGAGAUGAGACUGACGCUUAGCCCUUAGGGCACAGGCUAUAUAUGCAUGUAUAUGUAGCAGCUAUAAGCUACGGCCCAGCCUCUCUGGUUGUAUAUGUAGUAUAGCUGUUGCUGCAUGCUUGAUACAUCAUCAUCAUCAUCAACCAACACACAGUUAAUUACUCGGUGCAAUUCUUUUUUAUGUAACUACUGCAAUUGGUUUUGCCGACUUACUGUCGGAAUCGGAAUACCGGACUACAUUGUGAAGGUCGUAAACUUACUAAUGUCAAGCUUGAUAAUUAAAUAAAUAAUGUCAAACUUUUGUGACGAAAUAUAAUCCUGAUAUAACUAUAUGGUAAUUUGUGACCGACAAUUCACUUAGCAUUGAGACAACCAACAUUUAUUUCAUGGUGAGUUAGGUUAGUCAUGAAAUUCUAUUAAAAUCAACUCCACUUCAUCAAGAGGAACAAGCGAAAAUGGUCGUACAAGAGUUUUGACUUUUGAGAAUGGGUGGCCAAAAAUUGUUAUUUAUUGUAAAUUUGAGUGAUCGAAAUGUUAUCUAUCAUAAAUAUGAUUAAUAGAAAAAAAAAAUUAUUGGGUUUGUAAUUAAAUUUCUUAGCCACUUCAAAUUAGUGAAGCAUUUUUGCCAUAAAUGAAUGGAGUGAUCAAUUCGUUACCUACUUAAAACUUGAAUCAUGAGUUUGUUAAAAAAUAAUUAGGUCGAGUGACAACAACGUCUCCUACCACAAACUUGGAUGACCAAAAUGUUAAUUACCAACCCCAAAGUUGAGUGACCAAAGUGUUACAUAUGCCAAAGUUGAGUGACUGAUGAUGCUUGUAACUCUAAGUUUAAUUGAGAAGGCUUAUUAGAUAUAAUGUCGUGACUCUCUUUCUUGGUUUUGUAAUGAAAUCUCUUAGCCCCUUCAUAUUAUUGACGGGUUUUCACCGAAAAUGGAUGGGGUAACCAAUCCGUUACUUGAAAUUUAAGUCAUGUGUUUGUGAAAAAAUAAGAUCGAGUGAUCGAAACGUUACCUAUCCCAAAUUUUAUUGACAAAAUUUUGUUUUCUUCUUAUGAGUGAUUGAAAAAAAUAUUAUUUUUGAGUGACCAAGAUAUUACCUAUCUUUUACUAGAAUAACUGGCAAUGAUUUUAACCCCAAUUUUAAUGGAGAAGGCUUAAUUAUGAACUAUUUCCCUAGUUUCCAUCCAUGCAACUUCGUCCAAAAGGGGAUAUAGCUAGCCUAUGUGUUGUGCAUCGCAUCGGGGAUGGGCACUGUUUUUUUUUUGCUCUUUGUCUUUUUUUUUUAUAAUUCUAUUCACUCCCAUUUUCGUCCAUGACCGGACCACCAUCGUUUACCUAACUUACUUUUAAUGAUAAAUUUGUAUAUUAAUCGGAAGGAAGUAUCAAAUUUGAAUUCAAUUUAUACAAUAUUAUUGUAAUAUUUUUUUUAAUGAAUGAGCUCUUCUCAAUAUCCAAAGUGUCUGUAUUUUAUUAUUCUAGCAUCCAUGUCUACAAAGUUUGCCUCCACCUAAAUCCCCAUGAUUUGGUACGAGGUUAACUCUGGUUAAGCAGGCCAGUAGGCUGAACUCAGGAAGAUCCUAAUGGGCUACCAACAUGGGCCCUCUGCUGUUUCUUGAUCCGCUAAGAAUCCACCAGAGCUAAGCCCAAAUUGGAUACAGAAAUCUUCAUUCAUUUUUUUCAAACGGACAACAAUCUCGACUCUUUAAACUUCCUAUCUAACCCAACGCUUAAAUCAGGCGUGGAGAGAACGCGCCACCAUUACGAAGAGGAAUCAUGGCGGCACCUACAGGUAGGGUACCUGAAUUGAGGCACGACCCGGUCUCCAACCGAUGGGUCGUUUUCUCCCCCGCAAGGGCCAAGCGCCCUUCCGAUUUCAAAUCCAAGUCCCCGGAGAACCACCCUGAUCCCAAUUCCUCCGCUGCUAAUUCAUGCCCGUUCUGCAUAGGCAACGAGAGCCAUUGUGCCCCUGAGAUCUUCCGGUUCCCUCCCAAUCAACCGAACUGGAAGAUCAGGGUCAUUGAGAAUCUCUACCCCGCCCUCAGCCGAAUCGCGGAGGACGAUAAGAAGCAGCAGCAGCUGCACGAUCACGCCGCUGGUGGACGGAGCUUGAGCGGAUUGGGGUUCCACGAUGUGGUGAUAGAGGUUCCAGUUCACACCGUGCAGUUGAGCGAUUUGGGAGCUGGAGAGAUUGGCGAGGUCUUGCUUGCCUAUAAGAAGAGGAUUCUACAGAUUGCAAGCUUUGAUUCGAUCAAAUACGUCCAGGUUUGAUUCUGCUGUUUCUUUCUUACCAUUUGCCUUGUACGAUUGAAUUCGUAUUGUAGAGAAUAUAGAACCAAAAGUGUUUGAGCAAAAGUUAGCCUUGGACAUUUAACGAUGUAGUAUUUGUUUCGUAAGUUUGAUAGCAUCGAAGUACCUAAUCCCAAGAUGCACAGAAUCUCAAAUCAGAUGGUCUUGGUUUUGUGUGUGUGUUCAGAUAUUCAAGAACCAUGGAGCUUCAGCUGGUGCAUCUUUGAGCCACUCGCACAGUCAAAUACUGGCUCUACCCAUCAUUCCUCCUGCUGUUUCUGCAAGACUUGAUGGUACAAAGGAGUACUUCAACAAGACAGGGAAGUGCAGCUUGUGUGAAAUUCAAAGCAAGGAGCUUUUGAUCAACGAAUCAACCCAUUUCAUAUCGAUUGUCCCCUUCGCCGCGACAUUCGCUUUCGAGAUAUGGAUCGUUCCAAGGGUUCAUUCGUCUCAUUUUCACGAACUAGACUCUGAUAAGGCAGCCGAUCUCGGGGGAUUGCCGAGGAUGCUGCAAAGGUUCUAAGGGAGGUUAAUCUAUCUUGAUUCCCCAAGAAAAUAAGUUAGCGCGGGGGUUGGCAUGGAUUUACGAUGUAGUCUGCAGCGUUUACAGUCAAUUUGGAUACCUACAAAUCUGUCAUUGUCAAAUAUGAGCAUCAUACUUAUUUGAAGGAAUAAGAAUGUCAUUUUCGAACCUUUAAUAUCCAGCAAUAUCAAGGAAAAGUAUGCUUGAAUAUUAUUAUGCAUUCUGCAAUUUUCAAUUAGCCAAUUUCUUUUGGUUAAAACUGAAAUAAUGAAAUGUAGACAUUUAUAGUUCGUUUGAAUCGGUGAUUUAAUCUUUACUAAUCUCUCUUAAAUGAUCGUUCAUUAUAUAAUCAAUGCAUCAUGUUUUCUUUGCAAAACCCCUAUUGAGUGUGUAUGGUUGUGAUGAUAUGUGGGAAUCAAUAAUUUUGUAAGCUUAUCAUUUUGCGACAAGCUUAAUUAUUAAUGACACGCUAACCACAAGAUCAUCAUUUACUAUAAUUAUAUACAAAUAUCCUUCACAAGUAAGCAAUCUUGUUUUUGGCUACACUUCUUGAUGAUAUCCAUGGCUAUUUAUUUGAUUGCUUGUUUUAUCUUACAAGUUACCUACCCUCUAUGCCGUACAUUCCUUCAAUAAAACAAUUGCAAUUGCCGAAAGACGGGCAUCAUUUUUUUUUUAAAUCAAAAUUAAUGCAUCAAAUAAAUGGUUCAUCUAUGGACAAAAUAUUUUCACAGAGUUCAAAUAGUCAUCGGGAGGUGUUUUCUCGUAAACAAAUUACACCAGUGAACGCGAUCGACGAGUAAAUUUGUGAGCAAUGACGUUCCUACAUUUUUUAAACCACUCAAUUCUAAACAUAGGUUUACUGUUAAGGUUGUGUCGGCAUCACCGAAUAAUUUUGUGUACUCUACGAAAAUGUUACAAAACCCUUGGUUACUAUCUGAAAGUCGGUCUCAAUUAUAGCUUUCUCGUAUCGCAUGUCUCUAAUCCACUUCGAGUUAUGUUUCAACGCACACACUUCCUCUUCUCCCAUUCUAGCUAAACUGACCGCUUUUGUACAUAAAAAAAAUGUAGCAUACCACUUAUAUCAUCACGCACAACCAAUCCCACACAAUAGUUGUUGUUCUAGGAAAAAAAGGGGAAUAUAAACGUUACAUUUAACAUACUCUAAUAGUGAAGAAUGUCACUGAAAACACGAAGUGAUAAAUAUUUGUGGUUGUCACUCAUCCCUGAUCAAUAGCUCAAUCACUCUUGUGAGACAUCCAUACACACAUCUUGUAAUCAUCUAUUAUGUGCUAAUUUAACCAUUUCAAAUUCGCUUGUUAUACUCUCGCCACAGUCCAAACAAUAGCCGGAAAGACGGCCAUAAUUGAAAGACCUUAUUACACUUUUGUUAUGAAAUAAAAUUUCAUAUGUACUCUCACUUUAUAAUUUACGUAACAAUUUUUGUAGGAACCUUGGGACAAUCAAAGGUUGCCUUUCUAAACAGAAGAGGUUAACAAAAUUAGGUAGAUGGGUCAACUGCCAUGUGAUUCGGUUUCAAAAUUUAAAUUUUUACUUCCCUUAAUCUCGUAAUUAAUCCUCCAAAUUACAAACCCCACAAAUUCCAAACUAAAAACAACAAUAACCAGCACACAGCACCCCAUUGAUGAUUUGAUUCUUCUUCUGUCACAGCUCCACUCUCUCCCCCCCCUCCUCUUUGAAUUCCUCUGAGAUGCCAAAGCUCGUCCUCUCACAAAUUCCUUCCCUUCAACCCCUCUCCCUAUUUCCCUCCCCUUCCACCCUUGUUAAUCGAAUGAGAUCAUGAAGUGCUUCCACUUCUCCAACGGCGGCGGGGCCGCGCCCGCCCCAUCAACCGCCACACGCCGACGCGGCGGCAGCCGCUGCGAGGCCGGCGCCGGCGGCGGCGGCGCCGCUUCUUCUAGAAACUCGCGGAUGUCGUGGGCGAGGUCGUUGAGCGUGGCCUCUACUAACGUCGACACCAGGAGAGGCUCGUCGGACUUGUACUGCUACUCCUCUAGAGACUUGUCCGAAUCCGUCGCCUUCUACGAUUUCUUAUCACAUCGGAGAGCCAACGAUUUGCACGUCUUCUCCUUCGCCGAGCUCAAAGCGGCGACCAAGGGGUUCAGCAGGUCGCUUUUGAUCGGAGAGGGAGGAUUCGGUUGCGUCUACCGCGGUGUCGUUAGGGUUCCUAAUUGCGUUUACGGGUUCCUAAUUGCGUUGACGACGGCUGUGAUUCAGAGACGUUGGAUGUUGCUAUCAAGCAAUUGAAUCGUCAUGGUUUCCAGGCAUGUUCCUGUUUUGUUUUUUUCCCCUUACCUGAUCAAAAUUUUUAUUGGAUUGAUCGUUUGAAUCAGGUUAGGUUGAAUUUCUAGUGUUACAGGGACACAAAGAGUGGAUCAACGAGGUGAAUUUCUUGGGCGUGGUUAGCCAUCCGAAUUUAGUGAAGUUGGUUGGAUAUUGCGCUGAAGAUGACGAAAGAGGGAUGCAGAGGCUCCUGGUUUAUCAGCUCAUGCGUAACAAGAGCUUGGAAGAUCAUCUCUUAACUCGAACUCCUUCGCCUCUUCCGUGGAUCACAAGGUUGAAGAUUGCUCAAGAUGCUGCUCGUGGAUUGGCUUACCUCCAUGAAGAAAUGGAUUUUCAGGUCUCUCUUAGCUUUCAUUUCAUUCCUGUCAAGAAGAGCUUUUCAGUUGUGUGUUUGUGCUUAUUGUGUUAGUUCUUUUAUGAUGCAGCUGAUAUUUCGAGAUUUCAAGGCGUCCAACAUCCUGCUAGAUGAAGAUUUCAAUGCCAAGCUAUCAGAUUUUGGUUUAGCCAGACAGGGUCCUCCUGAAGGGCUCAGCCAUAUCUCAACUUCAGUAAGUUUUUCUUGCUUUGAUGAACUUUCGGAAUGCAAAGAGUCAAACUUAUGAUCUGGAACUGAUGUAGAAUUUGUGGUUUAGGUUGUGGGAACAGUUGGUUAUGCAGCACCAGAGUAUGUACAGACCGGAAGGCUGACAGCGAAGAGCGAUGUGUGGAGUUUUGGAGUGGUUAUCUACGAGCUUAUUACAGGCAGGAGGGUGAUGGAGAGAAACCUACCAAGGGGAGAACAGAAGCUCUUGGAAUGGGUUCGGCCAUUCGUAUCCGAUCCAAAGAAGUUUCAUCUCAUCGUAGAUGCCCGGUUGGAAGGAAAAUACUGCCUUCGAUCGGCGCAGAGAGCAGCAGGAUUGGCAAACAAAUGUCUCAGCAGACAGCCCAAGUCCAGGCCUAGAAUGAGCGAAGUGGUUGAGUUGUUGGGGAACAUCAUCAGCGAGACAUCAAUCGAGGAAGAGGAGGAAACUGCUGGAUCCAAAAUUGAAAAGGUUAAAGAGGAGAACCCAAUAGUGGCCGAGCCAGAGUGCAGCAGUAAGAGCAGAAACAGAUACCUGAAGAAAGUUUUGGAUAUGAGAGAGUUCAAGAGCUUUAGGUCGAUUGGGAAGCAGCUAGAUUGGAGAAACUGGACUCCUGGUCUCAUAAGAAGUUCAUAAGUUUUCGGGCAGUUCUCGAAAAUCCUCUGAUACGGCGAUUAGAUAGGUUUGGUUGUCCACGAGUUUAUCUUCACUGAGUAUAUGUAUAUGCUUCCAUUUCCUACCGGAGUAAAUAGAAUCGAAACUUUACGUGGCCUCUUGUUCUGCAUUUGUCCAUCAUGAAAUCCAAGUUCGAAAAAAUUGCUUAUUCCGAAUCGUAAUCUGAUGUGAAAAAAGUUGCAGGUGACAGCACUGUUGCAGCAUCAAGAAGAAAGAAUCUACGGAAGGUAGUUGAUUCCAUUUCCACUACUGCAUAGUCUGCGUAAAGUUGCUGUCUUUGAUUAUCUUUUUCGCGUAAAGACUGAACCUUUUCUGCAAAAUUCCACGGUGGUGGUCUUGUGUACUAUGAUGAACAACGUUUCAAAGUAGGAAUUGUGAUACUAAUCAGCGUUUUAAGUCUUGGGUAGGGUGUAAAGAGGAAUGAGACAACAUGUUACAGUGAACAUGUGAAUACGGUUUCUAUAAUUGCAGAUCAAGACAAUGUCUUGAAAGUGAAGAAUCUUGAUACCAGGUGAUUGAUUGGGUAUGAAAUCUGAGGCUUACAGCAGCCUUCUGGGAAAAUUACAGGACAAGACUUGUCUGUCGUGGACCCAGCUAGGCCCAUUUCACAGGGUAUGAAUACAGAGUGACUUCACAAUCGCGUACAGUUGCUGUCGAUGAUAAUAAAAGCUGUCACUGCAUAUGACCAAGUCGUGUGUAGGCUAAUAGUUCGGACCAAGUCAUAUAUGAACUGUUAACAUGUUUUUCUCCCAUUUCACAGUAUAAUCACUAAGUGUUUGUUUGUUAUGGAAGAAAUUUGGAGAUUUUUGUGAAAAUUCAGAGUAAAAAAAAUAUUUGUUUGUUUAGUUUUAAUUGACCAGUGUUUUACGAAAAUACGUUUCCUCUGAUCUCACAUUUCUUCUCAAAUGUGUAUUUUUCAAAUACAUGGUGUUGAUGAUGUUUUCUUCAAAACUCCGAGUUUUUGUAAACAAUAGAUAGAUAUUGUCAUUAUUACCCCCAACUUCCUUUCCGGCUAUAACGACUAUAACAAUCGAGGUGGAGAAUAAAAGUGGGGUAUUGGUUUGAUGUCGGAUUUAUUCUCAUUUAUAUUUAGUAAGAUAUGGUAUGAGUAUGGUACAAUAUUAAUACGUUCAUAGUUUCAUACAUUGUUUUAACAUAGCAAUACGUUUAAAAUUUCGGCAACAAUUAGAAAAUAUUAAAAUUUUAAAAUUAAACGGCUCUACAAUAGUAAGAGAACGGAAGUUCUAAACGCAUAUAGUACGUAUAUGUGUAUUAUACGAGUAUUAAACGAAUUUUUGCUAACUAGAAGAUGAUGGGUCUUGAAAUUGGAUUUCAAAUAAGGGCAUCAUGCACACCGGUGGGAUAUUGGUUUUAUUGCACAAUAAAUCCCUAACAAAUGAAAAAUUGUAUUUCAAUUGCAAACAUUGUCACCAACACAAUGUAAUUAGAAUUACACAAUCUCUUCUUCCUCAAUUCCCUUUUUUUACUUUUCCCCUACUUUCCAUUACUCAAUACCAAACGAGAUAACACUUUUUUUAGAGGGUGAAAAACUCCAAACAAGUUAUGCAAGGAUAGAGCAGGAUCAACGAUACAAAUAGAACGAAUACUAAGAGAUAAACUAUUACUUAAGCUAGCUAAAUAGUGUUCUGUCCGAUUGUUUUGUCGAUAGAUAUGUUCAACCUCGAUCAUCUAAUCCCGAUCCAACAUUUUACAGAAAUUAACGAACGUAAAAAAGUGCGGAUGUGUAUUCGCACUCUUAGCUAGCAUAAAAACUAAAUCAGACUAUUCUUAUACUUUGCGAUACCUCUCUCACAAACUAUAUACAAUCAUGUCACAACCGUUCACAAUUCAACCUAUAUAGGUUUGGUGUAAUACAUGAAUUUGAAAACAAGGUAGUAAAAAUUUGCAGAACAUGAGCCGAUAACGGGCUUCCCUAAAAGUCUUGGCCCUCGGUAUGUUCAGAUUAUGGGCCUGUCUCUGGGCUUUUACAUGAGUCUUGGCCCUGUAUCGUACUUUUUAAAGGAAAAAAUUACAGCUAGUGUGAAUGAUCAAAAUCCAUACGUACAUAUUCUUUUUUUAACGUUGAAUUUCAUUUCCCUGAAAAUCGGUUACAAACUGUGAUUCAAGAUAGAAAAGUCAGCAAGUACAAGUUGUAGAAUUCAGUCCUGAUGCAAAGCACGAGCUCUGGAGGAAGUAGCCACUCAAUUAGCAAUCCUGUCACCAUUCCUGGGGAUGAAGUGGAACUUAAUACUCUACACGUUUGCAAUAAGGUGAAAGAUCGAUCUAACGGUAGCAUAACAGUCUCACGACCACAGGAAGGAUCGAUUGUUGAUGAUAUUGACCAAUGUUAUGUUAUCGAAAAAAAUGGAUGAUGGAUCCAGACUUGCAAUUGCUACUUUGGUUGCCUCGAGGUCGGCUCUCGCUUUCACCCCAAUAGCCGACGAGCAGAAAAAGUUACCAUUCUUUCCAUCACAAAGUUGAUCAUGUGUGUCUCUAACUACGACACAAUAAACCGCCUCAUGAGAAUAACUAAAGAACGAUCCAUCACAAUAAAUACGUCGUAACGGUGUAUAUAUCAUUAUAAGAACACCACCACAAAGCAUGUUGUGAAGUGUGUUCCAUAUGUUCUUCAAAUGCCUUGUCUCCCAGCUCUGCAUAAUGCUUGAUCCACACAUGCUUUAAACCUCAGAAAUUAUCAUAACCCUAAUCCAAUGAUCUAGGGGAGCUUGGAUGUAUAGAGCAGGGAGACAAAGUUGAAAAUCUGUACCUGCAAGGCUACAACUGUUUUGGCGGAGAAGGAUGAACAAACUAACUGUUUUUAAUUGUUUCAAGUUAAAUGAGAUCAAUCUUGAUAUAUUUUUGUUAAAGUAGAUCUUUCAAUAAUACAAUGGUAUCCCUUGAUGGGAUGUACUGGAUUCGACCCGGAGGUCUUUAGGGUCACCGACACACAACUUGACCACUAAAGCAAUCUUGAUAUAUUUUACUUUGUAUUUAUGUUAUGACACAAUCAAAAAUUUAUAAUGUUACUAGAAAAUCGAUAUAAUAAUGACAUAAUAGUCUCUUAUAACAAUGUUAUAAUAUAAUCAAGCAAUAACAAUAUCAUUUUACCAACUUAACAAUGUUAUAAUAGUUGAGACUCUCUUCCUCGUCUCCACUUGUUAACUUCCUCUCUCUAUCUUGAUUUCCGAAAUGCUUUUAAUAUUGAUACCAGAAUAUAAUAGUUGUUUUCCUGAUAAUAAUUUUUUUUGAAGGAUAUGAGAUUCGAGAUAUUAAAGCUUUUGUGNNNNNNNNNNNNNNNNNNNNNNNNNNNNNNNNNNNNNNNNNNNNNNNNNNNNNNNNNNNNNNNNNNNNNNNNNNNNNNNNNNNNNNNNNNNNNNNNNNNNNNNNNNNNNNNNNNNNNNNNNNNNNNNNNNNNNNNNNNNNNNNNNNNNNNNNNNNNNNNNNNNNNNNNAUAGUAAAAUUAUUUACUAACUAAAAAUUCCAAAAAUAAUUUUUUUUUGGUAAACUAGAAUUCAUUAAACCACAUAAAAUUAAAGAUUCCAAAAAUUCAAAGCAAACACCUCCACAUAAGAAAUAAUAAUAUCUAGAAAGUAGAUCAAAACAAGUAAAGCAAUUUCAUCAGCAAGGCUGUCUUUAUGUGCAAUUUUAUUAGCAAAGUACUUUCCGUGAUCUUGUUUUGUCAGAGAUCUCUGUAAACUUAGAUCAGACAUCUUUUGUUAGGAUAUAGAGUUUCAUCUUGUGUCGAUGAAGAGCAAUAGUUGCAAAUCAUACACUUAUCAACCAAUGUUACUUGGUAACGAGGAUGGAUGUGUGUAUCUCUACUAUAUAAUCUUCAGGCUUGGAUGGAAGUAGCUGCAGCUGCAUUUUGAAUCUCUAAACGACGCCCUAGAUAUAGUGAAUUACUGUACUUGGCGCCAUUUCUUUGAUUCUAGUAGCUCCUAUUGCUACUCCAAGAAUCACAAAGAAUCAGAUUUUCAACAACUUGUUCUUAGUCUCCAAGAAGAAGUAAAAGAGAUAAGCUAAGGAACAAUGGCUGCAUCUUCAAGCCAAGCUUCUGGAAAUCCAUUCGGAUCGGGGCAUCCCUACUUCAAGAUCAAAAUCAGCCCAACUUAUCUGAAUGCUUGCCAGCGAAUGGUACGUCUCUUCCAACCAUACAAAGAAAAGUUUGUUUUUUCCUGCACUUUUAUAGUUUUGAUCGACUGUAUGUGUUCUUUUAUACUUUUGGCAGAACAUACCAUCCAAGUUUACGACCCGUUCUUGAGAGAUGUGGAGCGGGUGAAGCUGGUGGUAGGGGACAAGGUUUGGCCAGUUAGGGUCUGUCUUGCAGGGGACAAGUAUGUGUAUGUCAAGCUGGCCUCUGGCUGGAUGGCAUUUGCAGAAGAUAACUCGCUGAGACUCGGCGAUGUUUGCGUGUUCCAUCUGAUCCCUGAAGUCCUAAUGAAGGUCAACAUAAUUAGAGGUGUCUGUAGGUGUUUAAUUUGUUAUUAUGAUGACUCUUUAAGAUUGUUAGUCAGAUUGUAGUAUUAAUUACGUAAACCAUUUGAACCCUUUUAAGGUUAAUUAUGUAUUCUGGAUUUUUCAGACUUAUUAGUCCUAGCUAGCCACUUUCUUUCUGUUGAUUUUAUUUCAUCUAAAGUCUGCAUCUUUACCACUGUAUUUCUGUUGAAUUGCCAUUCCAGAAGACGUUUCUGCCAUUCAGACGACAGUCAUCAUCCGACUUGGUCUUCACAUUUACAACACUUUCGAGGCAACUUCAAUUUUACGGAGUAGCUGACCUUCGGUUGCAGCAUCUUUCUCCUAAGAACUCAGGACCAUUACUUCUAGUCUAUGAUCUUGAAAUGCACCAACUUACCGCUCCAAGUUCAUAAUCAUCAAAUAAAAACCGUACAUACAAACAUCUAUACAAUGCAUUGUCAAAAAAAUCGACAGCACUUUCUCUCCAUUAACAUUUCCGCUCAACAACACUCUCAAGCAUGUUGAGGAGAAGCAGUGGGGCGGCUAUACGCGCCACUGAUCCUUCUCCUGCGACUAGCAUCAUCCGCGCUUCUUCUCCGCCACUUUGUUGGUGCACUAUUCGCCUGAUCGCUCGAGUUGUUGCUCAUCUCGUUCGACUCAAUGAUGUCCUCCAAGAUCCUCACCACCUCUUCCAUAUUCGGUCGCAGCUUGGCCUCUAUUGAAAUGCACCUCAACGCAAGUGAAGCAGCCUUGAACGCUACUUCCAUCGUGUAUUGCCCUUCAAGCCGAUUGUCCAGGAUCUUGAACACCUUGCGCUUGCUCCCGAUGUACGGUUUAGCCCAUUCCACAAGAUUGUGCUCCCCCGAUGGCCGGUUUUUGUCGAUCGCUCUCCUCCCUGAUAACAUCUCUAGCAACACCACUCCAAAGCUGAACACGUCGCUCCUUGGUGUCAAAUGUCCUAUUGUAUAUAGUCACAUUGAAUUAAGCAAAUGACGCGGUGAAAGUUUUCAUCGUCACAUUUAUCACAAACUUCGACGCAAACAUACCUGUGGCAAGGUACUCAGGAGCAGCAUAACCAUAUGUUCCCAUAAUCCUUGUGGACACAUGACUCUUGUCCCCGGUCGGACCAUCCUUGGCUAAUCCGAAAUCGGAGAGUUUAGCAUCAUACUUCUGCACAUUACAUUAGAAUAUGCAGUUUUAAAGACCAUAACGGUUGGUCACUAGUGACGUGUUCAGAAAACCAAUCACUAUUUGUCAAUGAAACUGCAUUUUCCUGUAGUAUAUGAUAACAACUUACUGUAUCAAGCAAGAUGUUAGAAGUCUUGAAAUCGCGAUAAAUGACCUUUGCUUGGGAGCUGUGAAGGAAAGCAAGCCCCUCUGCAGCACCAUGAGCAACCUUCAACCUUAGGUUCCAUGAAAGAGGCUGGAAAUAAGAGCCUCCUGACAUGAACAUCAGACAGACAUGUAAAUGAAUGAUAUAAAAAUCAAUCAGAACUAGAUAAUCAUCAAAUCUGUGUUACUACGACUCACUUCUGAAGAGAUGAUUCUCCAAGCUUCCGCGAGGCAUGAACUCGUAAACGAGAAGGCGAUGCUCGUCUUCCAAGCAAUAGCCAAUGAGCUUGACCAAAUGAGGAUGGCAGAAUUGUCCCAAGUAGUUGACUUCAGUCAGCCACUCCUUGUGACCUUGGUAGCUUUCCUUGUUCAGCCUUUUGACAGCUAUGACCAAUCCGGUUCCGGGUUUGGUUGCAGUGAACGUAAUCUCGUCAAUCCAUCCUUUGAAAACCGAACCAAACCCACCUUCGCCUACCACACUAUCCGGUCGAAAAUUCCUGGUGGCUUGCUUAAGAUCAGCAAAACUGAAGCUCUUCAAAUUAGGAGACUGCAGUAUGUCACCCUCACUCCUUGGAGUUUGAGGCACUGAUAGAUUUCCAUUGUUGCUUUCGCAGCCAACGUAGUUCGGAGGACUCGCCCCCUUUCCCGAUCCAUUGGCGUCGCAACUUACGUGCCUCGAACUCGCCCCUACAACAUUGUAACACACCAGUAAUAGUCCAAAAUUUGGUUAGAAGAGAUUAAAUGUUUUAACCAAACAGUUUCAUAGUUGGGUAACUGCUUGCUUGAUAGCUAGACUAAAAAGCAAACUUGGAAGAAAUCUUCACUAAAGAUUGAAACUUCUACUGAUAAACCCCAUCAUGACACUAACAGAAACAUCAUUUGAUUCAAAUGUGCUACAAGAUAAGGAUACAAUUGAAAAUAGGGCUACAAUUCACAAAUUCGUGAAACAGAAAAGGAAACCAGAGCAAUGGCGGAAUCAGGGAUGGUCGAACCAAAGUCGCCGCAUAAGACCUCUCGACCUUAAAUUGACGAAAUCCUAUAUAAAAUUUUCAAAAUUGAAGUUUUUGCCUAGUGUGUUUUCAAAUUUCGUUUUCAGGAUCUCCGACCAUCUACUGAUCCAGAGUCCAGACCAACAGAAACAGAAUCCAGAGCUGUGGACUUAGAUAUGAUCAAUCCAGAUUAAAUCCCAGAAACGAAGAAGGGAAGAGGGUUUACCUGUGUUAAUAGGGCUCUCGGCUUUAAUCUGGGCACUUAAGCAAGCCCCCAUCAGAAAUCAAAACCCAGAAACUAUUGCCCUGCAUACAAGAGAAAACAGAGGAGGUCUGAGGGCAGAGUGAUACUGGAAAAUCCCAAACUGGGUUUGAUUUGUUUAUUUAUGAUAUGAAAGGAUAAAAGGUAUGAUUUUCUUUUACGGGUUUAAGGAAAGAAGGACGGCAAACAGUUGCAUCCGUGCAAUUUGACCAAUUUUGCUUUUCUUUCUUAUCAAGUCACAGAUAAAAAGGAAGAUGGAAAAAGUGGAGGUGGAAAGCAAACGACAGAGAGAUUUCAGAGGAAUCCCACCGUAGAGAGCAGAGAAAGAAGUCGUUGGAAGGGGCAAGUGGAGUUUGUGAGAUAGAUUAGAUUUAGCUAUUAACUAAAAUGGGAAAACGAAAGAUUUAACGGGUGCUGCAAGUGCAGUGGUGUCAACUGUCAAGAAAGGAACAGGACCAAAUGGUAGAUGGAACAAGAAGAAGAAACAAUGGAAUUAAUGGCGGGAGAGAGGAGGGUUGAAGUUGGGAUGGUCCCACUUUGGCCAGACUCGAUAUUUUACUAUUUUUCUUCUUCUUCAGUUCUUCCUGAGGAGGCUUUUCAGAGUUUCUAGUUUGCUGAAAGUCAUCAUGAUCUUCUUCUUUUUAUCCUCUUCUUCUGUUGACAGAUCAGGCGUCUACGUUUACUCUAAUAAAAAUCUGGAAAAAAGGAUUUUUUGUUCUAAUUUAAUUUGAGGGGUUUUCUCGCUCUGUCAACCAUUCAAUUGGCGACAAAUAGUAGUAGAUGAGUGUAUAUUCCCAUUUAAAACCUUCCCUCCUCAAAAUACAACAUUAUUAAUUACGCUAUUCGAUUUGGACAGAUAUUGUAUAUCAUCUUUAUUAACUUCGGUUGAUAACAGAGAUUAUUCAUAUUAGACAAUUUAAAUAAGAGAUUUGGAACACAUGAAUAUGAAUAAUGUGGGAUGAUUGAAGAUGAUAGUUAGACAUUAUAUAUGUAUUUAGAUUAUUUGGUUUAAUUGAAAGAUCUACAUAUCUGAUUCUGAUUGAUAUAUUUAUAGAUUUAUUCUAGAUCACACUUCUUAAUAUGGACAGUAAUUUCUCUUUUGAAAUUCUUCAUAAGAAUUAAUUUUUUUUUGUCGAAUAGAAAAAUUAACUUGAAUGUUGCCAUUUUUCUCUCUAAAAUAAUAUAACUUAAAUAACAAAUAGCAAAUAUGUUACCUUAUUCAAUUGGAUUGCACAGUUAUUAUUUUGUUCAAAUGAAGUUGCUUCGAUGAUAAAAAGUUUCAGAUAAUCCAGCAUACUUCGCGAAUGAAUCAUAUAUUGGCAUUAUUAUUUUUUCUAUUUUGUAUUAAUCGAUACAAUGUAAAAAAACUAUAUACUGUUUUAACUUUAAACAUGAUUAAUUAAUCAAGUUGGUCCAAGAGUUUAUCUAGUACUGAACUGGUAUUUGGAAUAGAGUACUUGGGUUUAGAUGAGACGCAAGUUGGUGGUGGUGCCUGGUGCAUAAUAGACAACCACACAAAUAGAAGAUGAAGAGUCGUCUCCAACAUGUAAGUUGGCAGUUUCCGUCCGCCGCCGAGCCCCACCUCAUCUCAUCGGCGCCGGUUCUUGCAGUGAUUGUUACGUAGAUAGAUAGACGGUUACCUUCCAAAUUGCAGGAAUGAGGAUAGAUCAAUUUAACCCGGUAGGGACAGAUAGGCUACUGAAGUUGACCUCACUGUCUCAUUGCUCUUUGAACGUGACUCAUUACAUGGCUGAGCUGCCAAUCUCUCAUCUUCCCAAGCACGGCACAGACAUAUUGUAGCUUCCAAGCAAUCCUACCCCGGGUCCGACAAGAGAAGGAGUUACCUCUGUUUGUUUUCGAACUGUGGUUUAGAUUCAUGUGGUCAUAAGAUAUUACAUUUUAACCCUUAGAAUAUUUUACGUGAAUAGCUUCGAAUAUAUAAAGUUUAGAAUUGAUUUCUAUAAGGUUAAUUAAUUAUGUUAUGCCCAAACAGCAAUUAAUUUACUACUGGAGCUCCUAACACGCGUCACAAGUUCAUACCAAGGAACAGCAUCCCAGGUAACAUGAGAUAAGCAAUGACCAGAAAUGGAGCAAAACAUGUCCAAGAUACACAGGGGGUCUAAAGUAUUAGGGUAUUAUUAUGAGUUUUGAUUAAUAGUCGGUUAUACUACAACGUCAGUGCAUCGGCAAGCAUGCUUUCAACUGCUUAUAUUAUCCUCAGAAUAUUCUAAUCCUUCUUCUGUUGUAACAAUGGGUUUGUUCAUUUGUUUACCUAACAAAAUCGAAGGUUGGGGAUUAGUGGGGGCUUGGGGGUUAGGCAAGUUGGGAAAUUUGGAACACAUAGUAAUGAAUAAUGUGGACCCUGAGGAUUGCGUGCGAUUUCAUUCACCAUUAACGUGACUUUUUUGAGCAGGGGACGAAGUUUGGGUUUGAAAGUUGAAAGUGUACCAACCAACAACCACCUAAAAGCAAAGAAAUCAGACAUGCCAGUCCAAAAUUUCACUUUAAGCCAGUGACGCAUUAGUUGUUCAAGGCGUUGAGUUAUCGCUGAUGAACAUCUAUCUAUCUUCUAUGAUCUCCAAUUUGAUUUCCUGUGACAAAAAGUCUCAUAUUAUAGGUCAUUCUUUGGCCACAAAAGUCGUUUUUGCGGACUGGUUUGUUUUGGGAAAUAGAAGGUUCAGAACCCACUGUUAGUUUCUUCUCAUGCAACCUAAUGAUGAUUCAUCUCGAUGAUGACUAGUCUGCAAGAUAUAACAAGAUCGUCCAGAGUGUGCAUUCUCCUCGAUAACGAUCAUUUUAUCGGCAUCUAUUGGUACGGUCACCGGAUGCCAACGAUAAUCAGUCUCUCUGAUUUUAACUGGGAAUAUGAUGUCAUUUUGUUCUCUAGCAGAAGAUGAUGAGAUGUUGUCCCUGAUUGACAUCGAUGUCGGGGUUGAAGCCGGAUCGACAUUGAUGUAACAAAAGAAGAGGGGUGUGGAAGCUUAUGAUGCAAUCCGAAUUGCCGAAGAUAUUAAAUUUUCCAUGGAAUAAAAAGGCCAUGAAAUUUGUGGCUGGAAACACGCAAACUGCAGAAGGCCAAUAAUUUGUCACCUUUGCAAAUUAUUGACCUUUGCAGAUAAUUUGUCAGUUAGUAAGCGUGAUCGACGGAAACAGUGGCCGCCCCUCCCCUGUAGUCUAGUCCGUACACCUAUCCGUAUUGAAGAAGAAGAAAAAAUGAACUCUUUGACUGUUGGUGGCAGAAAAGAUAUCAACUUUAUAAACCCAGAAAAAAAGGGAAUGAACUCCUCCUCCCAAUUCGGCUGAAACUUGGACCUUGUAGUAGAAACAUUAAACACAAAACAAAAGGAAAAAGCAACACUGAUCGAUCAAAGCCCGUCUGUGUUUCAUAAUCUCAAAAGUGAACUACUCAGCAAAGCAACACGCCCAGCAAUAAUCGGCAGUAAAAAAAGAAACCCCUACAGUAUAUAGCAGAGGCAAUUCCCUAAUAUAUACCGGGGAUUGGUUCAUCCGAGUACUUAUUUAUAUUCUUGCUUCAACCUAAUUAAAGACGACCUCAAACACAGACAACCCAAGUCAUCGCUGCUUUCCAGAAUAAUCAAUCUCAAGCACUCUUGACGGUCGCAGCCUUGAUGAUGUCGAUGAACUCCGGCUGCAAAAUUAUAGAGUACAGAUUAGUAAAGCUAUAACAGCCAUAGGGAGAGGAAAGACAUUUAAAUAUCUGGUUCAAGUAAUUAAUCACACACCUUCAAAGAAGCUCCACCAACCAAGAAACCAUCAACGUCUGCUUGUCCUCCCAACUCUUUGCAGUUCCCCCCAUUGACAGAACCUAUAUUUAUACAACGCCGGUAACCAAAUUUGAUGAGUCAUGGAUUCAGUUAAUAUUCAACUACAGCAUCGUAAGAAAGAAGCUAGCUAGGGACGAGUGUAAUUUACCGCCAUAGAUAAUUCUGGUGGAUUGAGCUACUUCAGCACUGACGUUCUCAGUAAGCCACUUCCUCAAUGCAGCAUGGACCUGGAUCAGGAAAGCAAACGCGAUAGCAAAUGUAUCGUCAGAAUGUAGAACAUGAGAUUGGACAAGAAAAUGAAAGAGUAGUAGGAACUUGAAGUCUUCCAAGACCCCUUAUAAAUUUCUUCUGGUCGAGUUCAUUACGAUAUGCUUAUAAUACUCUACUGUAAGUUAAUACAGUCAGACGAACCAGAUGGAUUCUGAAUUCGGAUGAAUAUAGAAUUUCUAUACCAAUUAUUACGGGAAAAUUUCAAAAGUAGUUUUCAGAACCCAUACAGGACGUGGAAUUUCCAGUAGUAAUGGAGAUAUCAAACAACCAGGUUUAGCUCCGACUUACUUCUUGAGCCUGAGCAGGUGAUGCAACCUUUCCUGUGCCAAUGGCCCAAACUGGUUCAUAAGCCAGGACGACGUUGUCCCAACUUUUAAUCUUAUCUGCAAGAAACAGUAGUGGUUUAUGCGUAAACAGCUUACACAAGAAAUGACGGAUAAAGACAGGUAGAAGUAAAUGAAAAAUGUUCUACUUCCAUGUCUAAGUUGGCUUUAAAUAUGGAGUAAGUUAAGCAUGAAGUAAGUUGUAACUUAAGAGAAAUGUGCUCCAACAACAAUGACUCAAGUACCUGCAAUAGCUUUGGUUUGAGCAGAAACAACUGCCAGUGUUGAUCCUGACUCUCUUUGCUCAAGUGUUUCACCAAUACAAGCAAUCACUUUCAGUCCUUGAGAAAGUGCAUAUGCUACUUUAUCUCCAACAAACUGUACAUGCAAACAAAUAACAAUACAUUUCAUCAGCACAAAUCCAACGGUGGUAGACAUUCAAGAACUGUAAAGGCAGGCGUAUCAAGAUAAAUCCAAUAUGAGCGGACGGCUAAUGCGUUCCACUUAUUUAUUGAACAGGGUUCUAUGGUCGGUCCGCGACCCCUGGGUGGCGGUGGGGGGAAGGUUGCUUUGUUACCUAUUCCACUUGGAACCGCGAAUUCUAUUGAGUCAUAGUGAUCAUUUAUCAAAGAAUGACUUAAUAGGAUGAAACUAAAGUAGUUUUGCAUUAUGAACAACAAGGAAACUUGAAGUAAGAGGAAAAUCCGUCGACUUUAGAAAUCGUGAGGGUUCAAGUCCCUCUAUCCCCAAUAUAUGCAGAACUGUGGGUUACCUCAUCAGACUCAUUCAGGAGAGCUCGCCUCUCAGAGUGACCAAGAACAACCCAUGGAAUGUCCAAAUUGAUAAGCAUCUCAGCACUGUAACAUCAACUUGACAAAUAUUAGUCACUCAUAAAGAGAAGAAUACGUUUCUGCUACAUAUCAAAUAAAGGAAUUGGCUAGAAAAGAUCACAGAAUAAUCUCAUCUCUUGUAAACGAAGACAUUGUGCAUCUAAAAAGGCAAUUGUAAAUGUGCACAUACCUAAUCUCUCCAGUGAAAGCACCGCCCUUGCGAACCCAGCAAUUCUGGGCAGCAACCUUGAAGUCAGGCCUCAACAAGCCUUUAACCACGGGUAGGAAUACAUAUGGGGGGCUGACAACAACUUCUGCAAUACAAAAGAGAAAGGCCUUUGAAGUUAUAUGCUAAAAGAAUUCUAAAAGAUAUCAAAAGGAGCCAGACCAAGGGGAGUAAACAAACUUUCUUGUCUAACAAGUUUACUAUCAACAUCAGCCAUAAAGUGCUUCCGAUAACAUAUACGCACUUAACACAGAAUAAACUUAUCCAACCAACAUAGAACUUCAAAUUCAUAGAUCCCUAAAAAGAAAAACAUAUAUUGGUGCAAAGGGAAUACUGUAACUACACUUUCCUCCAUUGUCAGAGUCGAGAAAUUGUUAACUUAAAGAAGAUGCUCGCACGAACAGUGAUAUUCCAAUGAUCCUGGUUGCACUUAUCCAUAUCUAUCCUCAAACAGGAACAAAGCAUAUACAAUCCAACGUACCAACCAGACAAACUUGGCAGAAUCAGGAAAAAAAAUGUGGCAACUAGGCUGGAAUAUGCUUGAGGGGAUGUCAAUCAUAUUUGGUAAUUUAGUGAAGAUACCAAACCAAGGAUCAUCAAGCUAAAUGCAAGGUAAAAAUGGUGGGAGAACGAGGCAAGACUCACCAACAACAUCCUCGGAGGGAACCUCAGCUUCAUUCAGAAGGGUAACAAUCUUCUUAACUUCCUCAGUUGUGCCAUUCUGCAACAAGAAAAAAAUCGAGCAACAUAUAAUCAAGCCACAGCACAAAACGACGCAUCACUACGAUUAGCUUCCGAAGUUGAACUGUCGCACAGAUAGUAUAGAGCAGAACAAUAAUCAAUCAGAUCUAACACAAAUCGAAUGAAGACAUAUGUGCAUGUGGGAAAUCGGAUUUGUUCGACGAUCUAGAUCAUAAGCUGGCGAAGGGUAAUUCGGGAGGGGAGGCGAAGAAAGCAUCGAUGAGGGUACUUACGCAUUUCCAGUUGCCGCCGACGAAGAAUUUCCUGGCCAUUUUCGAGGGAAACGAGAGAUUGCAAUACCAAAAGGUUUGAAUAAAGAUGGAAACAACGCACGAUGUUCAGAUUCCGAUGGCUGAUAUAGAGAGUGAGAGAGGGUGAUGAUCAAAUGAUGCUGUCUUUUCUUGCCGCUGAUUCGCGCUGCGCCACUAGUUUUCUGGUAUUGCCCCUUUACUCGAAUAUUAUAAUAUUUAAAAAAUGAAAGAAAUGGAUAAUAUGGUAACCUGAAUCGGAUUGGACAUCGGAUAUUCCGAGGAUUAAUACCGUGGAGGACAAGUAUGCCAUAAGGCCCAUAGUUAGGAUGUGAUAUAAUUUGAGCCUUGUACUGUUUCUACUAUUUGGGCUUAUUUAAAUAAAGCCCGACCCAACCAAUUUCGGUUUUCUUUAUGGGCACAUCCGGUUCGAGAACACCUUAUUCACUAUCUCACGAUAGUAACUUGCUACCCACAUUCUAAGGCUUGGCAUUUUGGUCCAAGAAUUCGAAAAAACAGCCCGAAUCCGACCCGGUCAAUGCGGACAAAAUCCAGUUUGACCGGGUGGUGGAUCGGAUUCGGAUUAAUCUGAAUCAAAAGGUGACGGGCAGUGUGUGGGUAUCGGAUUUAUUGGUAUCCUAUCCGUCUAUGCCCGGAAGUAUAUAUACCUGGAAAAAAACCCUAUAUUAGUUUGAUUUAUGUUUCUAUUGGAGGGAUUAUAGUUUGGUUUAUGUUGGUAGUUGCUAUAAUGAGUUUUGCUAAUGACGGUUGCUAAACAAAUUUAGUAUUUGGAUAAUUUGAAGGUUGGGUUGAUUUUUUUUUGGUUUAAAUUUGGUUUUCAAUCCUGGUUUAGUAUGUUUCGGAAUAAAUUUGGAUCCCCAACCAACCCGAACACCGGCGAUGGACGGAGAUGGUAUGAAAUCUUAAUCCAAUUACUAUUGUCGGACGGAGAUUUUCCGAAUCUAAAAUACAACAGGUAGAUAAUGAAUUAUAAAUCCGGUUCCGACCCACCCAAUGGACAAAACUACACAUUCUAGCCCAAGCAAUUAGUUUUGUGUUAGUUUAGACAGAGACCAAAUCCAAUACCUUCACUGCUAAAAUAAUCUCUUACCUCCACACUGUGAAGUUAUAACUCGAACUCAGUCUCUGAAUAUACAUUGCUCACUAAUCGGCAAACUUUAUAUAAACAAAGCAAGGUGCAUCAGAUAGAUAUCAAUCACAGAGUUAUUAGUGCAUGGAUACCUUUUUCAUGGGUUGGAAGAGACGGCAAACAUAGAAAAUAUAGAUCAGAUUUUCAUUAGAGAUUCAUCGUUCAUACCCCCGAGAGGUACACAUAUUAUAAUCAUCCGAAUAAUCUCACAUUCCAAGCACCCAAGGUGGUCAUUCAUUUUCUAAAAAUUUGCAUUACAACGGCUAGCAAAAUGCACAUGACAGACACAUAGGUUUGUCCCUUACGGCCACAUGGCCAGAGAAUACUAUUAUCGGCCUUUGCUUGGUGAGUUCAUCAAUGGUUUCCAUUCUCUCAUAAUUAAUUACUCGAUAUAUAUCUAAUUUUUAAACAAACUAAAAUGGAUACAAAACACCUUUAUAUAUUAAUCGAAAUCAUUACAACUCGAAAAUAAUCAUACAUAAAAAUGCCUUCAUGUUCUAUUAGACUUCCAAAUUAAUGUAUUAAUGUGAGAAACAAAUCAUGUAUUUAUAUUCUCCAUAUUCCAUAACCAUUAAAGACAUAUAAAAUAAUGUAUCAAAUCUGGAGAAAACAACAGUCCACAGAAUGGCAGAAACUGUCAAAGUUCAAGCAACCAAAAAUAACAUAAAAAUAAAAAAUGUAUUCGCGAACUAAAUGGUGGACCCCACUUAAUAUACCUUCUUUAAUCCCUCACUCAUUCGUCUUCCAGUCAAAUUCCAUUUCCCUACGCCUUCUCCCUUCCAUCUUCCCUUAUCUAAUUAGACUAUUCCGGCGACUCUGAAACAUCCUCUCCGGCGGCGCAGAAAAAAAAUGGCUCAAACUUCUCUCAUCUUCCUCCUCCUCCUAUCCUACAUCUUCAUUUCUCCAUCCACCGCCUCAUACUCAAUCGGAGUGAACUACGGAACAUGGGGCGACAACCUCCCACCGCCAUCCCAAGUAGCAGAGUUCCUCAAAACCCACACUACCAUCGACCGAAUCAAAAUGUUCGACGCGAACCCCGACAUCAUCCGCGCCUUCGCUGACACCGGGAUCUCAGUCACGGUCACCGUCGCGAACGCCGACGUCCCUGCACUCUCCAAGCUCCCCGCCGCACAGGACUGGAUCGCGGCCAACAUCCUCCCCUUCCACCCGCAAACAACCAUCCGCUACAUCUUGGUUGGGAACGAGGUCCUUUACUGGAAGGACAGGAACGUAAUUGCAUACACCCUCCCGGCGAUGAAGACCGUGCACCACGCCUUGCAGUUAGCGAAUCUCACGGAUAUCAAGGUUACAACUCCCCACGCGCUCUCGUUCCUCGCCGCGUCGGAGCCUCCCAGCACUGGGGUGUUCAAGAAGUUCGACGGGGAGAUCCUCGAGCCGAUCCUGGACUUCCACCGCCGGACGAAGACCCCGUUUAUGGUGAACCCGUACCCGUUCUUCGGGUACCGGGACGAGGUGAAGGAUUACGCCGUAUUCCGGCCGAGUAAAGGGCUGUACGAUAAGCAUACGGGGAUAAAUUACACGAAUAUGUUUGACGAGCAGAUGGAUGCGGUUUAUUCCUCGAUGAAGAAGCUUGGAAAGGGGUAUGAAGAGGAUGUUGAAAUUGUGAUUGGGGAGACGGGUUGGCCGUCGGCGGGUGACCCGAACCAGCCCGGUAUUAGCUUGGAGAAUGCGCUGUCGUAUAACGGGAACGUGGUGAAGCAUGUGAACUCCGGGAAAGGGACGCCGUUGAUGCCGAAUCGGACUUUUGAGACUUACAUGUUUGCUCUGUUCAACGAGAAUCUCAAGGCUUCGAUCUCGGAGAAGAAUUAUGGGCUGUUCAAGCCUGAUUUCACUGCCGUGUACGACGUCGGCGUUAUGCGCAGCACGCCGGUAUGUUCCUUUAAUCUCUUGAUUAACUCUCUGCAUUUUGAAUUUGAAAUUUGAAUCCGAGUCAUCUGGAACGUGGCGGUGGCGCGUGAAUCUAACUCCUAUAUGUCCUCGAAUCUGCGAUAUUUUUCCUAAUUUCUGAAAUCUGCCAGCUUUGGUUCAGUCCGAUUUUUGUGCAGUGCAAGCAACAGUGGCUACUGGGUAGUGGCUACUGUACUUUGGUGGACACGAAAUUACCGAAAUAGGCUCAAUUUAAAUCACAAUAGCUGUUGAAAUGAUUGAUUAGCAGCUAGGGUUAAUGAUGUCUUUGUAGGUAUCUACUGUAGAAGUAUGGGAUGAUUGAAUUGUGACCGUUUGGAUUUUUUUAAAACUAGGCACAAGCUCCUCCGACGAGCAACGGAACUACCUCUCCGGGGAAGGCACCGCCGUCCGACGGAACCAAUCCAGCCCCGGCGGAGAAGCAAUGGUGCGUGCCGACAUCCGAUGCCAGCGAUGAAGCAUUACAAAAGAAUCUGGACUACGUGUGCAGCUUGGGAGUGGAUUGCCAGCCGAUACAGGACGGUGGAGUUUGUUUCAGCCCCAAUACAGUCCGGUCACACGCGUCGUACGCGAUGAACGCCUACUAUCAAACCUACGGCCACCACUAUUUCAACUGUGACUUCGACCGCACCGGAGUUGUAACCUCCACCGAUCCAAGUGCGUAUCUUUGAUUGUGAUUUUAAUUAUGAUUGAUUUCACGAUGUUGAUAGGUGUUUGUGUUGUGAAUGUGGCAAUAGGUUACGAGGCGUGCAGCUAUCCGUUGACCGGUAUGGAAUUGUUGGAGGUGAAGAAGUCGGUGGUCAAGUCUCUGUCGCCGAGAUUGGUUGGGUUGGCAUUUACUGAGUUGCUUGUGGCGGCGGGUUUCGUGGUGUCUUUGUUGUUCCACUUUGUUGUCUGAUUAAUAGGAAGAGAAGGCGAUUCUUUUGGGCUUAGAAAUGGAUGGGCCUUUCGGGUGAAGAAAACCAAAUGGUGGGCCUACGGUAUCUAGGAGGCGCUGCCUUUCGUUUAUGUAGCGGUAGCACAGUUGUUUAUUCGGUAGCUUUGUUUUUUAGGGCUUCAUUUCUUCAUUGUAAAAAGGGAUCAUGUUUGAUUAAUGCAUUUUUUUUCUUUCUUUUUUAGAAAAGGUGCAACAUGGGUAGGGUCAUCCAUUUUGGUACUACUUUUGUCGAAAUACGUUUAAUUUUCAAGAUAGGAUGGGAUUCGGUACGAUUAUGUUAACAUGAUCGAACCAUCUUGUAAGAUGUCAUUUCUGGUUUAAGACACAGAAGAGCCUUUUUUAUGGCCAUGAUGUACACUAAUAAGAUGAUUAGAGCAUGUUGUUUCCGGGCAAAUAGUGCAACUAAAGGAAAAACGACAUUAUCGCCCGACAAUCAUAAUUCAGACCCGACGGAGAAAAUGAGGCGUGUUGGUACCGCACGCCAACGAACUAGCUUCCAUUUAUCUCUUUGUAGUGCGUUGUAAACCAUUUACUUAUGGCUAUAUUUAGGGUUUGGUCAUGCAUUAAUAAGUUUGUUUGAGUUAAGCACCCAUUGGACUAUUCGAUCAGUAAGAUGGUUGGGUAGAAUUACGUAAAUUAUAUGUUAUUUAAACUUUAACCACUUAUUAAGACAUUUUAAUGAAAUCAAUCAAUGCAAAUAACUUAACUUUAAUGAACUAACUUAAACCACCUCUGACGUCCCGUUGCUUAAGUGCAAAGAAAUCAUUUCAGCCUUUCCCUCCGUUUGAAGUUUGGACGGUUCAUGUGGACGCAGCUGUUCGUGUUGUGGAAUUUAUCUCUCAAUUUAGAGUAAUUGGUCUUGUGAGUCGAUGGAGUUGCGUCACCUUUUUCUCGGAUACAAUACAAGUUUUUCCCAACUAUACGGACCCUCUAUUUUUUGAGUUUUUAGCAAUUUGGCAAACCUUAUACGUUGUGCAAGUCAGGCAUUUGGAAGGCUUUAUCAUCCAUUCAGACUCAGCAGAGGCAGUUCGAUUGAUCAAUUCAUCCAUCUGUAACAUACAGGUAGGACAGAUUCUACCGGAAUGUCAAGCUCUACUAUGAAAUUUGCAUUUGGUUUCUCUUAUUCAUGUUUUUCGUUUGGGUAAUUGCGCCGUCCACUAUGUGGCGCGUACAACUCUAAAUUAUCCUAACAAUAUCUCAUUAUUUUCGCUUACUUGUGUAAUCUCUACAACAUGUUAACCUUUUUUUUUAUGAAAGUAACAAGAUUUAUUAUCUUCGAGAAAAAAAAAAGAAAUCAUUAAAUACCAUGAUAAACAAAUAAUUUCUUAAUGAUGAUGGGAUAUGAUGAUAAAAUAUCGAGAUAAACAAGCAAACCUAAAAAACUUUCUUUUUGAAAUUUGAAGGAAUUAACAAAGAUUAAUACUAUUUAACGCGCUAAUUUUUGAAUCAAACGACGCCCUAAACUUCGUAAAGAUGAUAUAGUCCUUGGCUUUUCAUUCAUUUAGGCCGGCAUUAGGGUCCGACCUAAAUCCUACACCCUAAAACCCUAUAAUCUUAGAACCUUAAACCAUAAAUUCUAAAACCCUAAACCCUUGAUCUUAUAACCCUAAUCCCUAAANNNNNNNNNNNNNNNNNNNNNNNNNNNNNNNNNNNNNNNNNNNNNNNNNNNNNNNNNNNNNNNNNNNNNNNNNNNNNNNNNGAGAAGAGUGCGCAAGAGUGGUGGGGUAAAAAAGAGGGUUUUAAAAAUGGGACCGGAGAUUGAACUGGUGAGUUUAGGGAUUUAGAAUUUGAUGGUUCGACCGGGGUUCGAACAUUUUCAAACCGGACUGGACCGUUUUAAUUAUUAAAUAAAUAAAGUUAAUUCGGACCGGACGAUUUUUUAUUGAGCCGGAUCAAACCGGUAGUAUAGAGAGUUCAAUAUCAUAAUCUAGAUUGUAAAAAAUAUAGUAUUGAAUCAUUUUUUUAAAAUUUUCAAAUUAUAUAAAUGAUUUGAAGUUUUUAUUAAUCAAAUAAUUAUAAUUUAAUGUACAAUUUACUUAAUUUAUGGUAAAAUGUUGCUUUUAGUGUUAAAUAGCUGUCAUGAUGUUUAUUAUUAUCAAUUAAAUAUAUAUAUUAAUCAAAUUAUGAUAUUUGUAGAGAUGGUAAUCACUCAUUCUUUUUUACUUGAAAUAUCAUGGUUCAAAUCCCAGUCCCACAUUAUUAAAAAAUAAAAAGUGUAGCCAUAAAAAUCAGGUCCAACCGGGCAAACAAUUUCUGUCAAACCGGCCGAAUUUCGCGGUUAAACUGGGUCAACACCCAGUUUUGACCAUUCUCAUCAGCCGGCCACUCAGUUUCGGCUCUUUGGCUGAUGUACGGUCGAACCGAUCGGACCGGACGAUCCAAAAUUCUUAACCACGAAUAUUUUUAUUAUGGGAUGUAAAUGUCCAUUGUGUAACUCCUNNNNNNNNNNNNNNNNNNNNNNNNNNNNNNNNNNNNNNNNNNNNNNNNNNNNNNNNNNNNNNNNNNNNNNNNNNNNNNNNNNNNNNNNNNNNNNNNNNNNNNNNNNNNNNNNNNNNNNNNNNNNNNNNNNNNNNNNNNNNNNNNNNNNNNNNNNNNNNNNNNNNNNNNNNNNNNNNNNNNNNNNNNNNNNNNNNNNNNNNNNNNNNNNNNNNNNNNNNNNNNNNNNNNNNNNNNNNNNNNNNNNNNNNNNNNNNNNNNNNNNNNNNNNNNNNNNNNNNNNNNNNNNNNNNNNNNNNNNNNNNNNNNNNNNNNNNNNNNNNNNNNNNNNNNNNNNNNNNNNNNNNNNNNNNNNNNNNNNNNNNNNNNNNNNNNNNNGUGGUACGCCACCCCCCCCGCCAGCCGUCCCUGCCGGCGGUUGCCUUGGUGGUUGUACAGUCGGAACUCUGUUAUCGUCGUUGUUUCCCGCUGACGAUAGGUGACUACAGUUUCCAAUGCACAUAAUAAACAGUACAAUGGUUAUUGGAAUAGCAUCUAAAAGAAGGAAAAUAAUCUCCGUCAUCAUGAUGAGAUUGAGGGACGAAAGGCAGAAGUCUUUUACCCUAAUUAGCUUACUCGAUUUAUAAAUUUAAGUUUAUGAUGAGAGACUAUUCCUUAAUUUAGUUCCCAGCUGGUCUUAUAUUGAUUUGAGGUUGGUAAACCAAAUUCUUAUCGCAUUAGGAGACUACUAAUUAAUUCUUUUAUUUUUAUCAAAUGACUACUAAUUAAUUAUUAAAUUAAUGUGAUUGAGUGCUAUCGAGAUUUGAUGUAUUAGUGUUGGUGUCAUUGUACUUUUCGAUUAAUGUCACUUUUGAAAUGCCAUUACUUUGUUUAACACACACAAAAUCCUUUUUUACGGGAACAUGUAACUAAUAAGAUGAUUAUAACACGUCGUUUCUUGAAAAAUGACAGAACUCAAGAAAAUACUUUAUCGUUCACGGUUGGGUCGUGGGUAGUGGUUGGUAUACGAGCGAUUAUGAGGCAUGAUUGUGUUGGUUUCGUCCUAUCGCAGUGCCAAAUUAGAUGUCCUUAGUUGGUGUUAGCCUUUGGCGGAGUUGUUUUUUCUUUCUAGUAUAUUUGGUGGCUGGCCAUUAUUGUGUUAUCCGUUUUUUUUUGCAUUGAUUUGCUUAGAAUAAAGAGGGAUUGCUUCUUAGGGUAAUUUUUAGUGUUUAAAUUUUGAUGGGGAGUUUUGGUGGGUUGUUUUGUGUUUGGUUGUGUGAGUCUUUGUUUGUCUCUUUCCGUACAUUUUUUCUCAUGUUUAUACAUAAAUGAAGUUCAUUAAUAAAAUAAAAUAAAAUAAAGAUAGUUGAGUAGAAUAACUUGCAUAUUAUUUUUAACUUUGACCCACUUAUUUUGACAUUCUAGUUGGGGCGAAUGUAAAUAGCAUAAAGCGGUGAUGAACUAACCUAGACCACCACCAAUAUCUCGUCGAUUAAAUAAAAAGAAAUCCAUGAAAAAUAUCAUGAUAAACAAGGUUUUCAAGAGGGUGGAGGUGCAAAUUCAUGAAUGCCUGGUUGGAGGCGGUGGAUGUCAUCGACAAAUUCGAAGAAUAAGGGGUGAUGUCUUCGGAUGAGAGGGUCCGUAAAAUGGGGCUCAAGGGUCGCCUGGAACAGCUGUGGAAGUUGGAAAAAAUCUCAUGGCGACAAAAGGUUAAGGAGCUUUGGUGUAAGGUGGGUGACUGCAACUCAAAAAAAUUUCACCGGGUGGCCAAUGCUGAUCAUCAAUGGAAUUUAUUAGCUGCCUUGAUUUGGAGGGGAGACAGGUGGAAGGUCAAUAGGAUCUGCUCGCGACGGAGGUCUCUUUCUACUCGAAUCUCUACUCGGAAACUUGGGCCACUCGUCCGUUCCCUUUGGAUCUCGAAUGUUCCAGCAUCCCUAGGGAGCAGGCUAGGGAGGUGAUUAGGCAGACGACCAAUUAGGAGAUUUGGAUGGUGAUAAAGAAUUGUGCGGGGGCAAAAGUCUCCAGGACUGGAUGGAUUUCGACAGAGUUUCUCAAGAAGAACUGGAAUAUCAUCAAGGUGGAUUUCUAUGAGGCGGUGAAGGAUUUUUUUUCCUCUAAUCAUGGUUUUCAAACUGAACAUCGAGAAGGCCUAUAAUCAUGUCAAUUGGAAGUGUUUGUUGACGGUGCUAAAUGAUGGGCUUUAAUGAGGUGUGGGUGAAGUGGACGAAGGAGUGAAUUUCAACGACACCCUUCUCUAUACUAAUCAAUGAGGAGGUACUUUCGGAGCACUAGGGUCUUUGUCAGGGAGAUUCCCUCUAACUGUAUCUUUUUAUUUUGGUUAUGGAGAUUCUUUUUUUGAUCUUGGACAAACUGAAAAUUGGAUGAUCCGCGGUUGCUUGUUGCGGUUUUAGUGUGCUUCGAGGUGAUUACCGGCCUAAGGGUGAAUCUACACAAGUCUUAUAUGUUCACUAGAGGGGAUGUCCCUGAUACUCCCUACCUGGCGGAAGUUUUUGGUUGUGAAAUCGAGACCCUUUCGACUUCGUAUCUCAAUCUCCCGUUGGGGGAUUUAAGUUGCAAAGCUCCACUUUUGGAUCCAGUGAUUAUCAAGGUUGAAAGAAGAUUGGAUUCAUGGAAGGUGAAUUUGCUUUCUUUUGAGGCUCGCUUAGUUCCAGUCAAGAGCCCCAAAAAGAAAGGGUCUGUUUUUAGAUUUCCUUGCUCGGUCAUCACUAAGAUCGAGAGGCUUCAGAACCGGUUCUUAUGGGCGGGGAAUCGGAAGGCGGAUAAGAUCUAUUGGGUAAGAUGGGAGGUGGUGAAAACCCCAAAGGAAUCAAGUGGGAUUGGCAUAUACGACCUCAAAAUUUUGAACUCCUCAUUAUUGUGUAAGUGGGGUUGGAGGUUUGCGAAGAAAAAGGGAGUCUGGUGGAGGAAGUUAAUCGAGUUGAAGUGUGGCAGGUGCCUCUCCGGGCGGCAAGUGUCUUGGAAUUUAGGUUCAGUUGGUUGUUCGAUUUGGAGGUGGAUUAGCCACAAUACAGUGAUGGUAAUGUUUCUUAAUUUUGACAUAAUUUCGGUAACUUGGUAUAAAAUUCGGUAUUUGGUGUAUUUUUGGUAAUUACCGAAUUACCGAAAAUGUUGUAUUUAAGAAGAAAAACCCUAAACCUACCUUAAAUAAUUCCCAAUCCGCAUUUAUUUCGGUAAUUUUUCAGUAAUUUUGGUAUUUUUCGAUAUUUAUUUUUGAUAAUUUUGGUUCAAGUUCAAGUUUUUGGUAACCAAUCGACAAAAAAUAGCCUUAUUCAGUAUUUCGGUAAUUACCGAUACCAUAACAAAAUUUUCGAUUUCGGUAACGACAAUUACUGAAAAAAUUUCGGUACGAUAAUGGUUCUCAAAUUGGAUAUAUUUUCGAUAUUCGGUAAUCGCUCGGUAAUAUCGUUACCGUACCGAAAUCCAACAGUAGGUGCAGUUCAAUACUUUCCUUACACUGUCCAAGACCUUGUGAUGUGGUGGGGCUCAUUCCCGAGUGGAAAGGGAUGAACCAUGAUCAGCGGUUUAAAGGAGCGGCGAACCCUUUGCUGCAUUCUUUUUUGUGAUAGAUUUGGAAGGAACGUAAUGAUAGAAUUUUUGAUGAUAAAACUGCCACUUCUAUUUCGGUUACUAAUAGGAUUUUGAUCGCUGUUGGUAAUUGGUUGUCAGCGGUUGGUGUGUUUGCAGAGGCAGAUCGAAACGCUUGGUGGUUGUACUCUUUCUCAUCGUGCCAUCUCCAGCCGCAGCCACCGCCAUUUUUCAGGUCUACUACUCCUCCGUCUUCAUUCCGAUCUACUACUAUCCAGUAUUUGAACUUAUCGACUUCCCCUAUAACAGGUUCAAGGAAGCUGCCGCCGCCACAACAACGACUGGAGGAGCUUCUCCAGCAACUGUCCUUAUCGGCGCCUGUGUUGGUGGUUGUACUUGUACGGUUGGAAUUCUGUUAUUGUCGUUGGUUCCAUUAAUUUAUGUAGAAGGCGUGAGAAAUUGAGGAUUUUUUAUGUUUAUAUAGAAGACAAUUAUGCUUUGGGUGUUUAUAAUAUAUUUAUUUAAGAUUUAUUAUUGAUGUAAAAAUCAUAUUAUAAUGUAUUUGGCAUUUUGAAUAAUCGUUUUGAUAAAUAAUAAAAGUUAGACGCUCCUUACAAAAUAUAAUGAAAUAUAUUUGGAUCAUUAAAUAGUGAAAUUGUAUGUUUGACAUAUGUGUAGAUGUAUAUGUGUAUAAUGUACAUGGAUACAUAAAUCUUAUUUUUUAAAAACAAUAUUCAUUAAAUUAGUCGUUUCAAAAAGAUAAAGGUGCUAAAUGAAAUUAAUAAAACAUUCACGGUUUAAAUCAAAAUUUUCCAAGGAGUUCCAUUGGAGCUGCAGGCCCAACAAAAACAAACGAGAUAGUUCUUCGUUCUCCAUUAGUAAAUUUCGAGCACAAUUUUUAUUUGACGGCCUAACAUUCAAACUAAACGACGUCUUACUUUGAGUAAAUUACAAUAUUAUCCUUUCGUAAAAUCGAAAUCCAUGAAAGAAAUUGUGUAUACUGACUAACUCAAACACUCACAAACACUCCCAAACACUCUCAAACGUUGAUCCGAAGAAGAAAUUGAAGUGAUUUAGUGUUUAGGGUUUGAUGGUUUAGGAUUCUAGGGUAAAGAGUUUUAGAAUUUAAUGUUUAGGGUCUAAUNNNNNNNNNNNNNNNNNNNNNNNNNNNNNNNNNNNNNNNNNNNNNNNNNNNNNNNNNNNNNNNNNNNNNNNNNNNNNNNNNNNNNNNNNNNNNNNNNNNNNNNNNNNNNNNNNNNNNNNNNNNNNNNNNNNNNNNNNNNNNNNNNNNNNNNNNNNNNNNNNNNNNNNNNNNNNNNNNNNNNNNNNNNNNNNNNNNNNNNNNNNNNNNNNNUUCUAGGGUUAAGGGUUUUAAAAUUUACUGUUUAAGGUUUGAUGGUUUAGGAUUCUAGGGUAAAGGGAUUUAGAAGUUAGAGUUUAGAGUUUGAUGGUUUAGGAUUCUAGGGUUAAGAGUUUAGGGUUUGAUGAUUUAGGGUUCUAAGGUUAGGGUUUAGAGUUUUAGAAUUUAGGGUUUAGGGUUUGAUGGUUUAGUAUUCUAGGGUUAAGGGUUUUAGAAUUUAGGGUUUGAGGGUAUAGGGUUAUAGGGUUUUAGAGUUUAGGAUUUAGGGUGUAGCUUUUUAUGAAUGAGGGUUUAGGGAUUAUACAAAAUUCGGUCGGACUGAAAUUUCGACCGGAGGACCACCCGACGGCAUCGAAAAUUCGGCAGAAAACGAUCACAAGGGCAGGCCGAAACGACAUUCCGAUCGAAACGGCCUUCCGGCCGGCACUAGUGGCCUGCCGAAACGAGCUUCCGGCCGGCACUAGUGGCCGGCCGAAACGAGCUUCUGGCCAGGCCCUAGUGCCGACCGGUACCUCUUAUGAUCUUUUUUUCGAUUUCGUACCUCAAACGACGCUUCCGAUCUUCGAUUUCUUAUUUGGAUCAUGUUUGUGGGUGUUUGUGAGUGUUUGUGAGUGUUUGAGUUAGUCAAUCUACACAACUUCUUAUAUGGAUUUCGAUUUUAUAAAAGGAUAAUAUUGUAAUUUAUUUAAAUUAGGGCGUCAUUUAGUUUGAAUGUUAGGGCGUAAAAUAGAGAUUCGGAUAGAGUUCUCCAUUAGUAAAUUUCGAGAAACAAAUAGAAGCGCCUGGAAGAGGACGACAGUCCCCAUUCACCGGUCCUCCACCGUCGUCCUUUCUCACCGUCGCCACUUAGAUUCAACCGCGGUGUAAACGGAAAGAAGAAUCGAUUCACGUUGCUUUGGUCUCCAACGGGACUGCAUUCGUUGUAGCGUUUGGUUGUUAUCCAGAAUUCACAACCUUCAACCCCCUGUAUCAACAUCUGGUAAGGGUAGCUUUGGCCCGUCUUUCUUCUUCAAUCAGGGCUCUUCUGUUCACGUCCCAGCUGCCGUAAUUGUAAUUUUAAGAUUUGUGAUAUUGCGGUUUUUGGUUUGGUAUUUUCUCUUGGGCAUUUUAACGAGGUCGUUCUAGGGUUUGAUGUAAUUCGUUCGCUAUGUCGUUUUUUUAAUAGUCGGUACUAUUCCACUGGUACUGCUUGUUGAGCUGAAUUCGAGAUUUGUAGCAUCUCCUUGAGAUUUGGCCAGUUAUGCUAUUUGUGAUAUCCUUCUUUCUCUGUAUAUGAAUCAGCAAUCCGUUAAACAUGUGCUUUAUUAUAUCAGUUCUUUUGCGGGUCUAGUUCUGGAAAUAUAAGCAAAAUGGUAGCCAUACAUUUGUGUGUGACUGGAUUUAUGAAUAACUACAUUCCUUGCUUUGUCAAGAAGUACGUACUCCUGUACAAUUUAGUGACUUUGAUUUUCCCAAGCUCACGCUGAACUUUUUUUCUUUCUUAUUAUUGAGUUCCUCCAUUGGAUCAAACAGUUCUUCAUUGGAUGCUUAAGCUCAUCCAUACAAGUCAGACUGUUGAAUGUACAUGCUUAAGCGGUUUGCUCUGUUUUGCACCUUCAGCUUAAUCAAUUAGAAUGUUUUUCAUGGUUGUUCACUAAAGAAUGUCCUAAAAUUAAGCAUGUACCCUUUCAGUAGUGCCUUACGCUUACUGGGUUUCAUAUGGGUUAAAAUCUUGAAGUUUCUUAACAGGCCAUUGAGCAUUAUGAGUUCUAUAACUUUAUCUGAUGAUGUGCUUGCAUAACAGGAACUAGUGCUUUAGUUGUCAAUAUUAAGUUAAUGUUUUACUACUUUCAACUUGGUCAUAGUAUGUUCCUCAAGACCUCAACCAGGCUAUAUUCUCAAGUAAAGAUCGGAUUAAUGCUUUGAUUCCUUCUUAUAUGGCUGUAUAUCUACACCAGUGAAAUUGAAAACGACCUUUCUCUGCAAGAGGUUCGGUUUCUUAGAAAAAAUGGAUUUUGAUUUUCGUUGGGUUCCUAGCUGAUUUGCCGAAGAGUUUCAAAUAAUUACGUUGAUCUCCAUAUGUUCCUCUGUUCUAUCCCUUACAAUUCUUUGUUAAUGCUCUUGGUUUACUCUUGUGGGUUUCUUCUGAUGUAUGUGCCCAUUCAGACUGCAGGUUGACCACUCUGUUUCAAGAUGCCGGCCACAGCUGGAAGGGUUCGCAUGCCUGCAAACAACAGAGUGCAUAGUAGUGCUGCCCUUCAGACUCACGGUAUAUGGCAGAGUGCCAUUGGUUAUGACCCUUAUGCCCCCAACAAGGAUGACGCAAAAGCUUCAGCACAGCCAAAAGCAUCGGCUGCCGAACCUGACAGCGAGAAUGCUUACACUAGUUUCCAGGAUCUUAUGGCACUUGCACGUAUCACCGGCUCCAAUGCCGAUGAGGUCCGUGGUGCUUGCAAAAGAUGUGGACGGGUCGGACACCUCACUUACCAAUGUCGAAACUUCCUCAGCUCAAAGGACAAAGACCCUGCAGCAAUUCACGCUGCAGCUUUGUCAGGAUUGAACAAAAUAAAGGGGAAUACUAAAGGGGAUAGUGAUGACGAAAGUGAAGAAGAGGAGGAGAGUGAGACUUCUGAUUCGGAAGUUGAUCCAGAGAUGGAGAGGAUCAUAUCCGAAAGAUAUGGGAAGAAGAAUAGUGGGAAGUCGAAGUCUUCCAAGAAGAAGAAUAGUGGGAAGACGAAGUCUUGCAAGAAGAAGAAAGAGGAUUCGGAUGAAGAGAGCGAGGAUUCUGAUACGGAGAAGAGGAGGAAGAGAGGAAGAUCGAAGAAAAGGAGGAGCAGGAAGAGUGGAAGUAGCGACUCGGAGGAUGACAGUAAGAGCAGGGGACGCAGAAUGGAGAAGAGAAGAAAGAGAGAUGAUUCUUCUUCUGACGAAGAGGAAAAAGUGUGUCGUAAGAAAAGUCGGAAAGAGAGGAGAAGGAGACGGAGUCGUCGUCAUUCUGAUGAUUCUGAUACCGACUCAUCCGAGGACUCUCGACAGGAGAGCAGGAAGGCUCAUCGACUUCUGGCUCGAGUGACUCAGAGGAUGAUUCAAGGGCAGGGCUGGAAGAAGAGUUCAAAGAGGUCUGAGAAGAAAAGCAGGAAGCUACAGAAUGGUAGAGAAUAAUGAGUCACUGGUUUAGAAUUGAUGCAGACAUGAAAGAACAUUAUUUGGGAUUUUGUUGAACUUGGGAUUGUAAUUUCGAUGUGUAGACUAAACGUGAAGUGUCGAUGCUCUGAACAUGGAUUUGAUUUCUUCAUUUGGUAAAAUUCCAGUUCUUCCAAAAUGCAUAAAGACCCUUGUACUAUUUUGGCUGACAAAAGUUGAAAACUGCAAUACUUAAUUGCUCUUCUGUUACACAUUAAUGUCUUAACCAGAAAUUCUUUGUCUGAGUUUUAGGUUUCUACAAGAAGAAAUUUGUCCCAUGGAGUUGCUUAUCUGGUUGAUGUGGACAGAAGGCUUUUAUGAUUUUUAAUACAGAUUCAUCAAAUCCAGAUUUAGCCCAAUCGAUAAUGGAGUACGGCCCAACUGUCAAAAUUCCACCUCCUACUACACGCCCACUGCAAACGAAAACGAAAACUGCCGACAGCCACGAAUGCAAGGAAAAUCACCAACGGAGAGGAUGAAGUGGAACUCAGUGAUCGGACCGAUUCUUCGCCGCGGGGCAUCCAAUUUUCUUGCCCGUUCCUCGCCGUGGAUUCUCCCUGAAUCCGCAACUCCCCUCCCCGGCCUAUUCUCUUCACCUAGCUUCCCGAGGUUCUUCGGGAAUCCCUCUUUCGCUGCAGCAGCAAGCACGAACGCAGCUGCUUUCCAUGCCUCAACUCCCAUGCAAUUGAAUCGGAACUUCAGCUCCUCGGCAGGUGAAAUCAACUUUCCCUAUUCCUUAUUUCUCAAAGAUGCAGGCUUUAAUCAACUUUAGUUUUGUCUCAGGUUCAACCAACGUUUUGCCUAUUAAGACUGAAGAGGAGUACAAUAGCUCUAUGAAGAACGUCCAUGGUCAUGAUUUGUUUUCCCCUUGUUUGCUGCAUUUGGGAAUGCCGAAUUAGUCGACUCCUUCAUAUUCUAACAAUUUAGCGUCAAAUGUUUCCGUCUUGUUAACCAGAUAAAUCGCUUCCGGCAGUCUACUACUUCACUGCUGUAUGGUGUGGGCCGUGUAAGCUUCCAACCCAUCUUAUAAAUUUUUCUGUUUUAUUUAACAAAUGUCAAAUUUUGCUACUAAUUAACAACUGUUGUGGUUCCAAUGUCAAUUUUUGUGCAGGUAAGUUCAUAUCUCCAGUCAUUACACAGCUAAGCGAGGAAUAUCCUCAUGUACCGACUUACAAGAUUGACAUCGAUGAGGUGAUAGUUGUGUGAUGGAUGUUCAAUUGCUUCUCAUCAUCAUUUUGGUUUGAUCUUGUUUUCGUAAACUUUGGUUGUUGAUCACUUUGCAGGAGGGGCUGGAUAAUGUAUUGAGCAGAUUGUUUAUCACCUCUGUGGUAAAUGUUGCUUCCCCACUAUUACCUUUUUUUGUUUCAUUUAGGUUUCCUGAGUAAAAUUGUGUUUGCUACAAAGCUCGUUAUUGUUCGUCAGUUAAAUGAAUUUCUUGAACUAUCGAAAGGACCAUUACUGAAUAGUGAUCAUGUUGCACCAGUGGAUGUGUACUGUUUGAUUUCCCAUUCAUAUGCUGACUGGUGCCUUGUCCCGAAUUUCAUAUGUGAUCUUACGUAGAUCUUCGCAUUUCGUAUUCUGUCAUCUUUGGUUGUUGAGGGUCUGUAUAUAUUGAUUGAUUGUCUACGUACCUUGGUAUUCAGCCAACCCUCCAUUUCUAUCAAAACGGGAAGAAGGCAGCUGAAGUUGUUGGGGCCGAUGUUGCUCUCCUAAAGGAGACAAUGGAAGAACUCUACGGGUAAUUGUUCGAAUCUUGAACUUCGGGCAGCCCUCUGUGAUUCAUUUUUUGUUAAUGUUUUUGUACUUUGAUGUUUACCUGGAUUCAGGAAAUAGUAGACGAAGACUAUGUGUAUGUGACGCCACAAUACUCUGGACGGCAUUUCCUGGUGUCCUCGUUAGGCUGUUCGUCUCCAAAGUACUUGGUCAUAGACAAACUCUCAUGUUACUACUUCUUAAGUUGAUUCAUUUUGUUGCCAAGUCAUUGUGUUCUUAAGUGGAUACAUUUUAUUGGUUUGAUGGUGUAACAUAAAUUAUGGGAUCCUUUAGGCUUUAGGUGAUUCCGUAGGAGACUAAAUUAUGGGAUUCUUUAGGUGUACCAUAAAUUAUCCGCAGCAACUUUUUGAAGGUGAAUGACAUGGGGCGGGGUUAUACUUGGGAAGAUCACAGGAACUGGAUAAUCGUCGUGUAUGGCCUCUGAUAUUGCGCUUUUUCAUUUGGUAUUUUGCGCAUUUAACGCCUGCCAUUUGUCAUUCUGAUGAUUAUGUUACCGAUUCAUCCGAGGACCCUUGUAAGCACAGACGGAAGAGCAGGAAUGCUGCAUCGUCUUCCGGUUUGAGUGACUUGUUUGAUAAUCCGAAGGGUGGAAGGAGUUCAAAGAGGUCUGAGAAGAAGAGCAUGAAGCAGCGAUAGGGAUAACUGAGUCAUUGAUUUCAGAAUUGAUGCACACAUGAAAAGAACAUUGUUUGGGAUAUUCUUGAGCUUUGGAUGGUAAUGUUGGUUCAUGUGUAGGCUAUACGUGAAGUAUAGAUUUUUAUCAACAUGAAGGAAACAAACGAAUGAAACAUACAGUGAAAGGGAAGAUAUCAAAUCCAUCUUUAGAACUUCCAGUUCUUCUGAAAAAUGCAUAAACAGUUAUCGACUUAUCGUUCUUGAGAGCAUUUGUGGGUCUUCAAUUCCAUCCGUCCGCUGAUUGUUGAUUUUUCGAUGUCGGCACAGCGAAAUGAAUGUGUGUGUCUCGCUCGAAAAAUGUGCAACUAAAAAGAUUGGCUUUUAGUGAACUCCGAAACGAGUGGCACCGGCCACCUCCUCCUUUUUUGCACGGGGAAUCGGAGAACCGAUUCAAGAACCCCAUUUUACCAAGCAACUGCAAAAAAAUAUACAAAGGCAGAUUCUUCAGAGAGAGAGAGAGAGAGAGUUUCAGUGUGAUCUUUUUUGUAGAGAGAAGAAGAUGCCGAGCAGCAGCUUUACUGGGUCGUUAACUACUCCCACUGUUGGUGUGGCAAUCGACACCGGCAACCCCGUACUCGACCUCACCGUCGAUGGUUUCUUGAAGACCGCCGGUGUAAAUUAAUCAACCCCCUGUUUCCAAAACUCCUACAUUCACCCCCAUUUCGAGAUCUGCUUACUGAUUUCAUCGUCUGGGACUUUUUGCAGGUGGCCGCAGUAAGGGUACUCGCUGAUGACACCUUUCACUCCGUCAAAAAAGGUCGGCCACUCUUUUUUUGUCAAUGAAGUCAUCAAUGAAAUCCUCUGUUUUUUGUCUAACUUGACUGCAUUUUUAUCAGGGUCACUCUCAGGAAGUGAUAUUGAGAAAUCGGUGAGUAGUGAAUACAAACUGAUCUUGUUGAUCUUAAUUUUUUCUCCAUGGCCUUCUCUAAAGGGAGGGGUUUUUGCUGUUGUUGGGUUGGUUGAUUGCAGCUGAAAAAGAUGUGCAAGGAAGGUGCUUACUGGGGUAAGCGAACUUUUGAAUCUUGCUUGCAUCUUCGUUAGGCAUUUUCCAUUUCUUGGGUUUCUGAUUUUGGUGAGAUUGAAAACAGGGGCAGUAGGUGGAGUUUACGUGGGGGUGGAAUAUGGGAUGCAGAGGAUCCGAGGAAGAAAUGACUGGGUAAUCACCAUCAUCAUCUUGUUGAUAAUUUGUUCUGUUUUUUUUUGGGUUUUCAAUUAUGUAUUGUUGAUGCUGGUUUGGGUGUCGUUAAUGCAGAAAAAUGCAAUGCUAGGAGGGAUGGCGACUGGAGCGCUGAUGUCGGCAGCCACCAGCGAUAGCACGGACAAGGUUAUCAGUAAUGCUAUAACUGGAGGCGCCAUUGCCACUGCUUGCAAGUUCCUCAACCAUCUCAUCUGAUAAUAUCCGGCGGAGCCCAUUGGGUGCAAUGUGGGAUAUGGUUGAAUUGUUGAGAAACGCUGCUAAUGGUUUUACUGUUCUCUUCUCAAGCUAGCGAUCAUCAAGUUUUAAAUUGUUCAAUAAAAUGCUUCCAUUUAAUCUCUCAGAGUCUGAGAUGAUGACGAAAGAGAUGUCUUGUGCAGAGUAGUAAUAAACUGUGAGACACUUCGGCUGGUACUAGACUGACCUUCCGAUUAGUUCGACGUCACUAGUGGGUAAUUGGGCAGGUAAUAAUACAAACAAAUGGUCUCAAACCCACUCCAAUUUUUCAAACAGUGAUAGAUAGCGAUUGCUGUUUUGGCACACAUAUCAACAACUACCAUAGCACAACACUCAGAAUCUGCUUUAAUUAAUCAAUCCACCGUCCAAAUUAAAUAAUUAAUGAUGCCAUGCACAUAUCAAACAAAGACGAUCCAGUAGAAUCUGUCAAGGUUCUGGUUUAUGUUCGUCCAAAACAGCUGGAUCAUACUGAAUUAUUGAUGUGAGAUUAGAUUGCAUAAACCUGAAGAAAACAGAGCCCAUUUACCCUGCUUCUUCAGUUCUUCAUCCCAAUAAUGGAGGGCAAAGAAACAGAGACUUUUCUUCACAAUCCAAAAGCUUGCGGGCUCCAUCCUCCCAGAUAUUUUACAGAAGUGUCCAUUGAUAGUACGCCACAGUUGUUUUUGGAUACAAAGCUGAGAGCUUUUUGACUUCAACACUCCUUACUUUAGCUCGAUCAAUCACAGUGAAAAAAAUACUCCUUUCCCCCUAUGAUUGAUUAUGCAGAGUGUAUGCAGUUUGAUGGACUAAACAUUGAUAGAUAUCUAAACCAAACCGUCCAAACCUGUGACGUGAUUUAUCAGUUUGUUCUAUGGACGUACCUUAUCAGUUCUGAUUACUUGUUUCAAGCUUGUUACUAAUUGCAAUCAUCAUCAUCAAAACAUAGUAGUGGAUAUUGUCAUGGAAUGUUGCAUUUCAAUGUCCCUCAAAAGAACGGUAAAGGGGUUUAGGUUUGCACCUUUUGAAAGGAGUCACCGAGACUUGAAAUAGAGGCAUUCGGGUAUUUAAAGACUUCGAUACCAUUAUCAGAUACAGAUAGAGAUAAGAUUUUAUACGUGUGGAUGAUCGUAGCCUUGUUCACGUGAUAUUGGACCAUUUAACUGCUUAAUUAGCCUUUAAUGAUCCAACUAACUACGCCUAAAACAGAGAUAUUGUACGGCUGAAAACAGAGCAAACCGCUUCAGAUUUUAGGAAACGACGAUAUUAUGAUGAUAAAGUGCUAGGUGGUGAAACCCAGCAACAAUAGCAACAAAACGUACACACAACAAACAGAGAAACCUAAUUGACUGACACGGAAAUCAAAGAAGAACCAGCCACAGCAACAUCACCUGCCAUGGCUAGCCGUUUCUUCUUUUAUUUACACACAACAACAAAACACAACUGCCCUUUCUUUCUUUCUUUCUUUCUUUCUUUCUGGAUUAUUAUUACUUAGGAUACCAAACAUCAAACACCGUUCGAUGCCGUUGACCACCGAUCAAGGUCGGUCUUCACUUGCCGCAGCCGCAGUUGGUGCAGGUGCAGUUGGAUCCGCGCUUGCAGUCGCCCUCGGCGCCGAAGCUCAUCUCCGACAUGUCGAAGCUCGUGGCAGGAGAAACUCCGACGAUCAUGGUCUGGAUGGAGGCGGUUGAUGCCUCGGCCAGGUCUGGGUACAUCCCACAGCUGCAAAUUGUUUACAGAGGAAAAGUUCAAAUUUCUCUUCUUUCAUGAUACAACAAACAAGAAAAUGAAAUUGAGGAUUUUGAUUAUUACCCGUUACAGCCACUGCCGCACUUGCAGGCUGAGCCGCAUCCGCACUUUCCUCCGCAGCAAGACAUGUUUUUCGGGUUUGAGAUUGAGGAAAAGGAAGAAGCUUUGUUUGUUUGUUUGCUUGCUGUGUUGUUGAAUGCUUGUGAUGAUUUUU